Long non-coding RNA from Chroicocephalus ridibundus (black-headed gull), 902 nucleotides. RefSeq lists it as uncharacterized. The record is from RefSeq and is a predicted model, not a curated record. The transcript is spliced from 3 exons. NCBI's taxonomy places the organism in Eukaryota, Metazoa, Chordata, Aves, Charadriiformes, Laridae.
GCGGUCUCUCCAUCCUGCAGGCCGUGCCGCGGUUGCAAGCGGGAAGCUCGUCUCUUGAAGGCCGGCGCCGUGUCUGAGUGGGGGAGACAGUAUGAAAGCAGUAAAGAGGGUGCGCCGCUGGUACUCAGCUCCUUCCCGAAUGCCCCACAUCUGGGAUUUCGGACCUGACGCCCCUUGGCAGCACAUCCCCUCCAGGUGUUGGCCCAGCGUGAGCUGUGCUGGAAAACUCCCCAGAAACAUCCUCGGCGGCCAGGACUUGUCACCCCCCCUGCCCCGGGCUGGCAGCCGCUCCCACAGCCCCGGCCAUGCUGCAGCCCCCCCACCCAGGGGACGUGAAGGCGGCUUUUCCCAACUGCUCCGUGCUGUUUGCUCGGGAAAGGCGGGGGGGAAACAAGAUAUCCUGCACCGCGGCUAGGGGAGCGGCUGGCCCCACACUGUUGCGGGAAGGGCUGGAAGCGGGGACCCCCUCCCGCACGCUGCCGGGGAGCUGGGAUACGGCACCUUCCCGGAGCACCUCUGUUGGGUCCUUCCUGACGGAUUCGCCACCAAAUCCGUGGCUCCCAAGCAAUAAAUCACCCCCGCACUGCCGCGGUGUGGGUGUCAGUGCCUGGUUUAUCCAUACAAGGCGGGGGGGGGGUCCCUAAACCCUGAGGCUGGUGGGUUCGGCACCGGGAAAGGCUGGUCUCCGUGCACCCCGAGCUGCCACCCCGCUGUUCCGUGUCCCAGGGAAAACCGGGAAGGCUCGGACCUGGCCAGGGCCGAGGUGGGGCCGGAGCCGAAACGAAUCCGGUUGUUACCUCCCGGCCCUUCCCGGCGUUCCCGAGCAGCGCCGGCCGGCCAGCGCCUUUGUUUUAAACAAAGCUUUUUCGGGGGGGAGCCAGCUCGGGCGAGGAGGUUCCCUG